RNAcentral lists this long non-coding RNA (273 nucleotides) under Bos taurus (domestic cattle). Its description in RNAcentral is "long non-coding RNA NONBTAT017536". Lineage: Eukaryota; Metazoa; Chordata; Mammalia; Artiodactyla; Bovidae. The record is from RNAcentral.
UUGACUCAUUGAUCGUCUAUGUGGGACUUCUGAAGGAUAGUAUUGGGAAGGCAAAUCAACUUGCUUAUCACUAUCGACUUAAGCUGGCUGAAAGGUUAAUCUUUACCCAAAAGUGUAUACCUGCAAGUCAGGGUCAAUCUACCUGUCUAGGAUACCCCUCAGUACUUAUGCUGUCAUGAGUCUCAAAGACGUUUUCUUUUCAUCCCCUCCUACCAUGCUAAGGGUCUACAUUUUCUGCUCAAAUUUGAGCCCUUUCUCCUUUUUCAACCUGUA